RNAcentral lists this small nucleolar RNA (95 nucleotides) under Sciurus vulgaris (Eurasian red squirrel). RNAcentral's name for it is "Small nucleolar RNA U13 (ENSSVLG00005009502.1)". It matches the Rfam family "Small nucleolar RNA U13". Lineage: Eukaryota; Metazoa; Chordata; Mammalia; Rodentia; Sciuridae. The record is from Rfam by way of RNAcentral.
AUCCUUUCCAGUUCAUAAACAUGGGUGUUUACACCACUGGGUGAGAUAGGACUCCCUCUAAACUUCUUGUAACAUAGCACAUUUCCCACCUGAUG